AGUAGAGCGGCGCACGGGUGAGUAACGCGUGGGUAACCCACCUCCGGGCGGGGGAUAACCACUCGAAAGGGUGGCUAAUACCGCAUGAGACCACGGGGUCCUCGGAUCCUGGGGCCAAAGAUGGCACCGGCUUGCCGGUGCUGUCACCUGGAGACGGGCCCGCGUACGAUUAGCUAGUUGGUAGGGUAACGGCCUACCAAGGCUGCGAUCGUUAGCUGGUCUGAGAGGAUGACCAGCCACACUGGAACUGGAACACGGUCCAGACUCCUACGGGAGGCAGCAGUGAGGAAUAUUGCGCAAUGGGGGAAACCCUGACGCAGCAACGCCGCGUGGGUGAAGAAGCCUUCGGGUCGUAAAGCCCUUUCGGACGGGACGAACGCUCCGCGGGGAUAAUCCGCGGGGCCUGACGGUACCGUAGGAAGAACACCGGCUAACUCCGUGCCAGCAGCCGCGGUAAUACGGAGGGUGCAAGCGUUGUUCGGA
Molecule: ribosomal RNA, 483 nt
Filed under: uncultured delta proteobacterium
Lineage: Bacteria; Deltaproteobacteria
Description: bacterial SSU rRNA
Rfam family: Bacterial small subunit ribosomal RNA
Source: RNAcentral